GCUUGCUUUCUUUGCCGGCGACCGGCGCACGGGUGAGUAACACGUAUCCAACCUGCCCUUUACUCGGGGAUAGCCUUUCGAAAGAAAGAUUAAUACCCGAUAGCAUAAUGAUUCCGCAUGGUUUCAUUAUUAAAGGAUUCCGGUAAAGGAUGGGGAUGCGUUCCAUUAGGUUGUUGGUGGGGUAACGGCCCACCAAGCCUUCGAUGGAUAGGGGUUCUGAGAGGAAGGUCCCCCACAUUGGAACUGAGACACGGUCCAAACUCCUACGGGAGGCAGCAUG
This 280-nucleotide ribosomal RNA is filed under the name uncultured bacterium. RNAcentral describes it as "partial 16S ribosomal RNA". It matches the Rfam family "Bacterial small subunit ribosomal RNA", at positions 78 to 353 of the family's 1533-position model. The record is from RNAcentral.